Long non-coding RNA from Magallana angulata, 433 nucleotides. RefSeq lists it as uncharacterized. The record is from RefSeq and is a predicted model, not a curated record. The transcript has 4 exons. NCBI's taxonomy places the organism in Eukaryota, Metazoa, Mollusca, Bivalvia, Ostreida, Ostreidae.
UCAACUUAAGCCAGAUGUAAACAAUUCCGGAAUGAAACCUGAAUCGGCUUCGAUUUUUCGUUCACAUGUAUACGUCAUAUUUUUACGUCACGAACGCAGAAGAGAUCAGAAAUGUAGGAUGAUUUCAGAUAAAAGCAAAUGGCUAUUGUAGUACACAAGCUUAGUACUAAGAUUUGUCUGGAUGUAGUGACUAGUCUAAAGACUAUGACUAUAAUUUCAAGAUCCUGGCAUUCUCCUCAAGUUCAUAGAAAGAUUGUGUCCUGUACUGAAUCUGGAUAAAAUCUAAACUUGUCCUAUGCUUUGGUUAACACGUCAGAAAGGGAGAAGUGGAUGGAAAGACUUGAAGGGCUAAAUGAAUUUAGGAAAACUAAUGAAGCACCAAAGAACAAGAAGAAUAAAAAUAUCUAAAUGUUAUCAUUUGUAGGAAUUAAAU